This 253-nucleotide ribosomal RNA is filed under the name uncultured bacterium. RNAcentral describes it as "partial 16S ribosomal RNA". It matches the Rfam family "Bacterial small subunit ribosomal RNA", at positions 524 to 776 of the family's 1533-position model. The record is from RNAcentral.
UACGUAGGUGGCAAGCGUUGUCCGGAAUCACUGGGCGUAAAGCGCGCGCAGGCGGCGAUCUACGUCUGGGGUGAAAGCCCGGAGCUCAACUCCGGGACUGCCUUGGAUACGGGAUCGCUUGAGGAUUGGAGAGGCAAGGGGAAUUCCACGUGUAGCGGUGAAAUGCGUAGAUAUGGGGAGGAACACCGGUGGCGAAGGCGGCCACCUGGACGGAUACUGACGCUGAGACGCGAAAGCGUGGGUAGCAAACAGG